GGAGGCAGCAGUAGGGAAUCUCCGCAAUGGACGAAAGUCUGACGGAGCAACGCCGCGUGAGUGAUGAAGGUUUUCGGAUCGUAAAACUCUGUUAUUAGGGAAGAACAAAUGUGUAAGUAACUGUGCACAUCUUGACGGUACCUAAUCAGAAAGCCACGGCUAACUACGUGCCAGCAGCCGCGGUAAUACGUAGGUGGCAAGCGUUAUCCGGAAUUAUUGGGCGUAAAGCGCGCGUAGGCGGUUUCUUAAGUCUGAUGUGAAAGCCCACGGCUCAACCGUGGAGGGUCAUUGGAAACUGGGAAACUUGAGUACAGAAGAGGAAAGUGGAAUUCCAUGUGUAGCGGUGAAAUGCGCAGAGAUAUGGAGGAACACCAGUGGCGAAGGCGACUUUCUGGUCUGUAACUGACGCUGAUGUGCGAAAGCGUGGGGAUCAAACAGGAUUAGAUACCCUGGUAGUCCACGCCGUAAACGAUGAGUGCUAAGUGUUAGGGGGUUUCCGCCCCUUAGUGCUGCAGCUAACGCAUUAAGCACUCCGCCUGGGGAGUACGACCGCAAGGUUGAAAUUCAAAGGAAUUGACGGGGACCCGCACAAGCGGUGGAGCAUGUGGUUUAAUUCGAAGCAACGCGAAGAACCUUACCAAAUCUUGACAUCCUUUGAAAACUCUAGAGAUAGAGCCUUCCCCUUCGGGGGACAAAGUGACAGGUGGUGCAUGGUUGUCGUCAGCUCGUGUCGUGAGAUGUUGGGUUAAGUCCCGCAACGAGCGCAACCCUUAAACUUAGUUGCCAGCAUUUAGUUGGGCACUCUAGGUUGACUGCCGGUGACAAACCGGAGGAAGGUGGGGAUGACGUCAAAUCAUCAUGCCCCUUAUGAUUUGGGCUACACACGUGCUACAAUGGACAAUACAAAGGGCAGCUAAACCGCGAGGUCAUGCAAAUCCCAUAAAGUUGUUCUCAGUUCGGAUUGUAGUCUGCAACUCGACUACAUGAAGCUGGAAUCGCUAGUAGUCGUAGAUCAGCAUG
This 1020-nucleotide ribosomal RNA is filed under the name uncultured bacterium. RNAcentral's name for it is "bacterial SSU rRNA". It matches the Rfam family "Bacterial small subunit ribosomal RNA", at positions 344 to 1356 of the family's 1533-position model. The record is from RNAcentral.